ACUCUGUCUAACCCUUUGUUGUCCGACUCUGUUGCCUCCGGUGCGACCCUGCCUUCGGGCGGCGGCUCCGGGUGGACACUUCAAACUCUUGCGUAACUUUGCAGUCUGAGUAAACUUACUUAAUAAAUUAAAACUUUUAACAACGGAUCUCUUGUUUCUGGCAUCGAUGAACAACGCACGAAAUGCAUCAGUUCUGGAAUUGCAAAAAUCUGAAUCAUCAAUCUUUGAAGGCACAUUGCGCCCCCUGGCAUUCCGGGGGGCAUGCCUGUUCAAGCGUCAUUUCACCCCUCAAGCCUCGGUUGGUAUUGGGCAACGCGCUCCGCCGCGUGCCUCCCAUCGGCCGCUGGGUCUUCUGUCCCCUAAGCGUUGUGGAAACUAUUCGCUAAAGGGUGUUCGGGAGGCUACGCCGUAAAACAACCCCAUUUCUAAGGUUGACCUCGGAUCGGAGGGAUACCCGCUGAACUUAAUCAUAUCAAUAACCCGAGGAAGCUCCUCCGGGUGCAAGAUGUUCGAAACGACCCUGCCUUCAUCGGUAGACGUUAUUCUGACAGAGCGUCCUGUGAACCAUGUAUAGAGAGAACCCCCUCUCUAACC
RNAcentral lists this small RNA (594 nucleotides) under Cladosporium sp. 2175 FePP. Its description in RNAcentral is "eukaryotic LSU rRNA". The stretch from base 132 to 279 matches the Rfam family "5.8S ribosomal RNA". Lineage: Eukaryota; Fungi; Ascomycota; Dothideomycetes; Cladosporiales; Cladosporiaceae. The record is from RNAcentral.